AUACGGAGGGUGCGAGCGUUAAUCGGAAUUACUGGGCGUAAAGCGUACGUAGGCGGUUGGUUAAGUUAGAUGUGAAAGCCCCGGGCUUAACCUGGGAACUGCAUUUAAAACUGACGAACUAGAGUUGAGUAGAGGGGAGUGGAAUUUCAGGUGUAGCGGUGAAAUGCGUAGAGAUCUGAAGGAACACCAGUGGCGAAGGCGACUCCCUGGACUCGAACUGACGCUGAGGUACGAAAGCGUGGGUAGCAAACGGGAUUAGAUACCCCAGUAGUCC
Molecule: ribosomal RNA, 274 nt
Filed under: uncultured bacterium
Lineage: Bacteria
Description: partial 16S ribosomal RNA
Rfam family: Bacterial small subunit ribosomal RNA
Source: RNAcentral